Long non-coding RNA from Centruroides sculpturatus (bark scorpion), 476 nucleotides. RefSeq lists it as uncharacterized. The transcript is spliced from 3 exons. The record is from RefSeq and is a predicted model, not a curated record. Lineage: Eukaryota; Metazoa; Arthropoda; Arachnida; Scorpiones; Buthidae.
AGAGGAUGUUGCGACAUUCUAAUUUCUAACAGUAAGAAUGAAUCAGAUGUAAAUUAGGUCGUGAAUUGAUUGAAUCAGACAUUUUCCAGAAUAUAAUUCAAACAAAUAUGUUCACCUUUAUAUACAGCAGUAUAGCAAAGGAGUUAUGGAAAUAUCCCUGGGUUCUGGAUAUGUUCCAAUGCAUCAGUACAACAAUUAUAAAUAAACCAUAUCUACUGAUUUUAUUAUUUAUUAUUAUUUUCGUCAUGUAUUUUUCGUUAUCAACUUAUAAUAAAGUCGUCGACAUGACGGAUAUCGGUUAUGAGGAUAGAAGAAUGAAUGCGAGGGAAUUACAUAGAAAACGAAUGCAGUUAUUAAAAGAAACAAAUAGAUUAAGAAGUGCAAAAGAAUAUCCUCCUGCUUAUCCAAAUGGAUGGAUAACUUUAUUAGAAUCCAGGGAUCUACCUGUUGGGAAGUGCAAGCCUGUAACUGCCUUA